Molecule: non-coding RNA, 98 nt
Filed under: Abditibacteriota bacterium
Lineage: Bacteria; Pseudomonadati; Abditibacteriota
Source: RNAcentral
UGACGGAAUCCUACGGUGGUCUGUUUUGUGAACCUCGUCAGGACAGAGAUGGAGCAGCGAUAAGCAAAAAACGCAUGCGAUAGGAAGCUCCGUCAGAU